Molecule: long non-coding RNA, 376 nt
Filed under: Salvia miltiorrhiza (redroot sage)
Lineage: Eukaryota; Viridiplantae; Streptophyta; Magnoliopsida; Lamiales; Lamiaceae
Description: long non-coding RNA (SMIL_LNC008599)
Source: RNAcentral
GAGGAGCUUCGUUCUAGGUUUUACUCGGAGGAGCUCGCCGAUUGACUAUUGUCGUGAGCUGGCGACACCGCGCCGGCGGUGGUGGAGGUGGCAGGGGGCGGCGCCGGGUGGGGGGAGGAGGAGUUAGGGUUUGGGAUGGGGGAUGGGGGAAAAGACGAUUGGAGGGGGGGAGAUUUCCUUUUUUUUUUCUUUUUUUCCAUAUGUUUUUUUUUUAUUUUAAUUUUUUUAGAUAUUUUUUCCACAUGUCACAAAAGUGCCACCAUGUUAAUUUUCGGCUGCCACCUCAUCAAUUCCGGCUGCUACAGUGGCAUUUCCGACGCCGUCGAAAGAAAAAAACGGUCACCGAAUAAAUUUGAGACAAAAACGAAAGAUUAGG